RNAcentral lists this ribosomal RNA (636 nucleotides) under Sepsis indica. RNAcentral describes it as "partial 12S ribosomal RNA". The stretch from base 417 to 488 matches the Rfam family "tRNA". Lineage: Eukaryota; Metazoa; Arthropoda; Insecta; Diptera; Sepsidae. The record is from RNAcentral.
CUAAAGUAGUAGUAGUUAUGUUCUUGAAACUUAAAAAAUUUGGCGGUAUUUUAGUCUAUUCAGAGGAACCUGUUCUGUAAUCGAUAAUCCACGUUGGACCUUACUUAAAUUUGUUUAUCAGUUUAUAUACCGUCGUUAUAAGAAUAUUUCAUAAGAAUAAUAAUUUUCUAUAAUUUUUAUAAAAAUUUAUAUCAGAUCAAGGUGUAGCUAAUGUUUAAGUAGAAAUGGGUUACAAUAAAUUUAUUUAAAUGAAUUAAUUUUUGAAAUAAAAUUAUGAAGGUGGAUUUGAAUGUAAAAUUAUAAAGAUUAAUAAUUUGAUUUUAGCUCUAAAAUAUGUACACAUCGCCCGUCACUCUUAUUAUUAAGGUAAGAUAAGUCGUAACAUAGUAGAUGUACUGGAAAGUGUAUCUAGAAUGCAGUUUAAAGCUUAAAUAGUAAAGCAUUUCAUUUACAUUGAAAAGAUUUUUGUGCGAUUCAAUAUAGACUGAGUAUAUUUUAUUUAUUAAUAUAUUUAUUUAUUGAUUUUUAUUUAUUAGAAAUAACUAUAAAGUUUAUGUUUUAGUAUUGUAUAAAAAAUAAAUAAUAUUUAUAAUAGUGAAUUAGUAUUGUGAAAGAAAAUUGAAAUAAUUUGAAAAA